This 358-nucleotide unclassified non-coding RNA is filed under the name Hevea brasiliensis (rubber tree). The record is from RNAcentral. Lineage: Eukaryota; Viridiplantae; Streptophyta; Magnoliopsida; Malpighiales; Euphorbiaceae.
GUUGGAGUUGGCUGGAAAUGCUGCUAGAGACAACAAGAAGAAUCGAAUUGUGCCUAGGCACAUUCAAUUGGCUGUGAGGAAUGAUGAGGAGUUGAGCAAGCUUUUGGGUCAAGUUACCAUUGCUAAUGGAGGUGUUUUGCCCAACAUUCACCAGAAUUUGUUGCCUAAGAAGGCUGGCUCUGGGAAAGGUGAUAUUGGCUCUGCAUCUCAGGAGUUUUAGAUGUAAAUGGGGUGUUAUGUUUUGGGAAGUAUUAGGAGAAAGGAGUAGAACUGUUAUGUAAUAUAAAAAAAAUACCCUUUUGUUAUUCUGUUAUUUAAUGGUAUGAAAUGAAGAAAAAAGGGCAAUAGCCACCUGCAG